Molecule: ribosomal RNA, 519 nt
Filed under: uncultured Glomus
Lineage: Eukaryota; Fungi; Glomeromycota; Glomeromycetes; Glomerales; Glomeraceae
Description: SSU rRNA
Rfam family: Eukaryotic small subunit ribosomal RNA
Source: RNAcentral
AGCAGCCGCGGUAAUUCCAGCUCCAAUAGCGUAUAUUAAAGUUGUUGCAGUUAAAAAGCUCGUAGUUGAAUUUCGGGACUAAUAUGUCGGUCGUGCCUCGGUACGCACUGGCUUAUUGGUUUCUCCUUUCUGAAGAACCAUGAUGUCAUUUAUUUGGUGUCGUGGGGAAUCAGGACUGUUACUUUGAAAAAAUUAGAGUGUUUAAAGCAGGCUCACGCUUGAAUACAUUAGCAUGGAAUAAUGAAAUAGGACGUUUGAUUCUAUUUUGUUGGUUUCUAGGAUCGACGUAAUGAUUAAUAGGGAUAGUUGGGGGCAUUAGUAUUCAAUUGUCAGAGGUGAAAUUCUUGGAUUUAUUGAAGACUAACUACUGCGAAAGCAUUUGCCAAGGAUGUUUUCAUUAAUCAAGAACGAAAGUUAGGGGAUCGAAGACGAUCAGAUACCGUCGUAGUCUUAACCAUAAACUAUGCCGACUAGGGAUCGGAUGAUGUUAAUUUUUAAUGACUCAUUCGGCGCCUUAAC